GUUCUACUGAGACGUUGGUGACUGCCAAUAAAGUUUGUUGAUCUAUGUUCAUCAAAAUAAGGGAACCAAGCGUUCUCGGUGCAGUAGACCGGGCAUGUACCCGGAAACGUAAAGCGAGAGUCAACGGUGCCCACCUGGUUUUCCAGGUCAUAAACUGAGGUAAAACGGCGUAUCGGGGAACCU
Molecule: non-coding RNA, 183 nt
Filed under: Cyanobacteria bacterium UBA9273
Lineage: Bacteria; Bacillati; Cyanobacteriota
Description: 6S RNA
Rfam family: 6S / SsrS RNA
About the family: E. coli 6S RNA was the first non coding RNA to be sequenced, but its function was unknown until recently.
Source: RNAcentral